AAAUGCAAAUAAUAAAAAAUAAUAAUUUAAUUACAAGUAUGGGAAUGAAGGGGGUUAAAAUGUGCUUAGACUAUUUUUAGGCUAAAACGGUCAUAAAAUAAGCUUGUUUCCUUUAAGCAAAGCAAAAUAUUCCUUAUUCUUUCUUUUGAGUUUUGGGGUGAAAUAUAGCAUGUUUCCGGCAGGUUUUGUGAGAUUCACCCUCACAGACUUGUCAACUUGGCAGUAUUAUUAUCAUCAGUGAAUAGUUUAUUCUACUUAAUCUGACAUGAAACAAGAUUAGUAAACCAUGUUUGGCAGCGAUUAAAUCAUUCUUGCAUUGAUAUCAUGACAAAAGAGGAACUAAACAGCAGAUAUUAAAUGUACAAUUCAAUAACUCAUCAAAAGUUUCAUUUUCAAGAAUACUGCGUCUUAUUUAAACUCAUCUUGGUUUCUUAGGACCCGAACGUGUACUUGACGGGUUUCUAGAGAUUCGCUCUCGAACAUAAUUACAUACAUCUGUCCAUUUAUACCUACAGUCUUGAGUUCUACAAGGUUUAAAAUAAGAAAACUCCCGUUUUGACCUCUGCUAGUCUGCUGACAAGUGCAUUAAAACACGCAUGCAUACAUUAAUUCUACAGGCACAUAUAGACAGACAGGAAAUAUAGAGCUACCACGGCUUCCGUUAUUGCAUAGGCUCUAAACAGAGGGAGGUUAAACAGCGAGCGCUGCCACACAAGGCCGGUUUCAGUUUCCACGCAAAUAAAAAUGGGGAAUAAAAACCAGAGAUCAAAGUCAGCAGCAAAUGAAAGACACAAGUCAAAAGAUUGUGGGAAAGUGUUUUCAGAUGUUCGUGAGUUUGUGUUUAUGAUCUUUCGGUGACACUUUUAUGUUCAAGAUGAGUUUUUUAGAUAAGUCUCAACUAAGAUUAAAAGUGGUAACUUUUAAGACUAAUAGGGUUCAUAUCAGUAACCCUGUGAAGAACAUAUUUCCAGGUCAUAGGUCAUAUUUCACCCUUAAAACAGCAAGAAAAAAACCCAAAUGAUAUAUGUUAUUUAAAGAAAACGAAGUCUAAUUUUUACUUAUUUACUUUUUUGGCAUGACAUUAUUUUGAAGCACUUCUGAAAUGCAAAAACAAAUAUAUUUUUUUAAAAGUUAUUGAAGUAUUUACACAUCAUGGUAAUAUUUGUUGUACUGUCUUUAUGCUGAUUUAAACAAUAAUAAAAUAAUAUAAUAAAAUACAAAUAUUUGCAUUAAUGAGCUGUUAUUCCCAUUGAAAAUAAUGAGAAUUAUAACCGAUAUACCGGUUUUCCCGGUAGGUCGCGAGUACAAGCGGCCGAAAUGGGCUUCCUCAGAAGGGUGGCGGGCUUCUCCCUUAGAGAUAGGAUGAGGAGCUCAGUCAUCCGUGAGGAGCUCGGAGUAGAGCCGCUGCUCCUUUGCGUCGAAAGGAGUCAGUUGAGGUGGCUUGGGCAUCGGGUAAGGAUGCCCCCUGGCCACCUCCCUAGGGAGGUGUUUCAGGCACGUCCAGCUGGGAGGAGGCCUCGGGGAAGACCCAGG
This is a long non-coding RNA of Xyrauchen texanus (razorback sucker), 1533 nucleotides long. RefSeq lists it as uncharacterized. The transcript has 3 exons. The record is from RefSeq and is a predicted model, not a curated record. Lineage: Eukaryota; Metazoa; Chordata; Actinopteri; Cypriniformes; Catostomidae.